UCUGAAACCUCGUUUGAACACAGCACUGCAGAGUAGGAGUCAUCUAGUGUAAACAAGGAAAUUCUUCCACAGACACAUUCGAUAGCCAGUCGUUCUACUCAACCAGACAGUGUUCAAGUAGAAGAAUCUAAGGAUUAAUUAAUUCUUUACUACAUUCGCUACUCUCUUGUGGUGUCAUUGAGUCCUUCUUGAGCUCUCUACAAAUGCUACCUCGCCAGGUACACAUCGUCAACAUAGCACUAGUGUACAGCAUCUCCGUCAAUCUAGGAGCCCUGGGCGAAGUGGCCAGCUUAGGAUGCUUGAAGGUGGCCAACGGAGGAGAUGAGUUUCAGACACUGGCCAAGGACUACAGCGCAGACAAACUGGACGUUCAGGGCUGUGUCUUCAAGUGCUGGACAUUAAGGUUUACUUAUGCUGCGCUUCAGAAAGGAUUCUUAUGUUUCUGUGGGAUGACAGCAAGGGAGACCAUCAAAGUGGCAGACGACGAAUGUGACAGCAGAUGUAAUGGUAACUGUAGACAAGCGUGCGGUGGGGAGCACGCUAUUUCAGUUUACAAGACAGGCUAUAUCCGAGAACCUAUUAUCGCUAUAGACCAGAGAGAUCUCUAUAAAGCCAAGAUUGGUUGCUACGACAAAACGUCUUCUGGAAAAAUCCUCUGCCCGAAAGACUUCGCGCCAAUACGUACAGUCAGGAUGUCCGUGCCUCUAUGUCUCUACUACUGUGAUUCUAUUUACUCAGCCAAAUUUGGGACCCUGUCGGCAGACGAUCGAUGCUGCUGCAGUAACUCCGUGUUUGGCGCCAAGAACACCAUGCUCUCCUGGUGCGACAUUCCUUGCGCUGCAGACGACAGUGUGGGAUGUAUUGGGGCAAAGAACAGAGGGACGCAGUGGGCCACAUUUGAAAUCGCUCGAAUUGCCAACUUUAAAAGAUGGCCAAAGUCCAUGUUCCUGGAAGCUCACUGGAUAGAGCCCCAGUUCCCAGUGAGCGACAAGUUUGAAAUUGAUAAGAAGUCUGACAGAGAUACGGUGUAUGGGUCACUGAGUGGGCUGCUGGCCAAGAAACGCGCCAGGAAACCAGGAGACGAGGAAGGUGAAGACACUGAUAACGCUAACAGCAUAGACAAGGAAGUGCAGUCCUUGGUUGGGGGCGACAAGAGGCAGCCGGCCAUAGGAAGUGUGCAAGACUCGGUGGCCAUUUUAGAAGUGCCAGGUUCCGACUCUAAAGAGACUCCCGAGCCUGGAGUAGAGAGCAGCACUGUCAUUAUCCUUGUGUCCGUUGUACUGGCCUUCCUAGUGUUCACCAUGGCAUUCACGUGCUACGUAUACAAUAUCAAGAAAAAUGAGAAUAUGGCCGAAGAAUUCUAGAUGAAAGUUUAGAGACCUACAGUAAAAGGACGCACUAUUUUGUUGUGAGGAAGUUCAUUGAACAGCAGCGGCUAGCAAAUUCAUGGCAACUGGGGAACACCUGGACAUGGAUCUCAAAAAUGGCUCUAAUGAUUUCCCUAGGAAUUUGACAAAUUAAUGUAUAUCUUUGAGAAAAGAAUUAUUAGCUAAUUGCCCACACUGGGAAAAUUCUUGUUUGACUGUAGUCAUAUAACUUUUUCAAACAUUAUCCUGUAAAAUUAAGUUUGGUCUAGAAAAUCUUUAUCUUGAGCAGACACAUCAAGAGGUAUUUCCACAUUUAGGCCCUAUCCAUUCAAGAGUUUAAAAUAAAUAAAGAGAUGUUCAGGAACAUUUUGGGCACCAUCUUGCAUCUAUUGGGCCUAUCAUUAGAAAUGUAUACACUCUGAGCAUUAUACAUCAGUAGGACAAAGAUUGUUUUGUAAGGUGAGAGAGGAAAUGAAGGGGGGGUUAAAAAUGUUUUGUUUUUUUUAUCUAUCAUUCUUUAGUUGUUAAAAGUAAAAUAAUUGCUGUUAAGAAAAGUCAUCAGAUUCUUAAAAGAGGAAUUACUUUUAAAAAAAAAAAUGCAUGUUGUUAAAAUACAAGCUGUCUGAUGCUUUAUCCUCAUACACUGCUUACACUUAUAUAAAUUUGAGUUAGUUCCCAGGAGCUUUGGUGUUUGAGAGAUGGAAGUAGCGGAAACCCAUGGUCCCAUUGAUGUCAAAUGCUUUUAUAAGUAUAUAAGUUUUUUUUAAAAAAUGGUGUUAUAAAGUUAAGGGAAGGCUGUCUUAUUUUUUGUACAGCGAAAUCUUCUGCUAAAUAUUUUAUGCUCAACAUUUUCAAUUUGCAUGAAUUAUGCAAGCAAAUCUGUCAGACUACAGAGCUAGAAGUAAGAACCAAGACUCACCAUUAGUUAAACUAGAUAAAAUUUAAAACUAAAACAUACCGUGUAGUUUAAUGUGUAUGGUUGUGAUGUCCACAGCUUGGUUUUGAUUACUUUUUGCUAUACACUUGUACAUUCCAGAGUGUUCCACGUUGGCUGAUUCAAUGGUCAGCACCCCACCUCUAACUGUUGUAUCAUUAGUAUCUACAACAUCCUUGUCUUCUUUGACCCAUUGCACUGAUGAAGUGGGGUAACCAGAUGCAGAACAUGACAGCUGGAUUCUCUCCCCUUCCAUAUAGAUACCUUUGUGGCUGGCAAUGCGAACAGAAAUAGUCUCUGAAAAAAAACAACACCAGGUUUUGACCAAAUAUUAUUCAGUUGAUUUUUUUAUAUUUCAAUUUGUAUCUAUACAUUUUUAUAUUAUAUUGUAAAUAUGUUGUUAUUUUUAAAUAGAUGUUUUUUUAGAACCUUGUUGUACAUUUGUAUAUAUCGCAUUAAAUAUUUGAUAUCUAAAACAAUUUCUUUUCUUCCUAAUGUUAGACAUCAUUCCAGUGUUUCCCAAACUUUUUCCUUAACAGAACAUUUCACACAUUCCAAGUAUUUAGAACAACACUCUGAUUAUUUUUUCAGAGAUAUAAAUUCACGUGGUGGCCUGCUAGUUAAUUAUUCCAGCAGUUCAUGGAGCACUUAUUCAGACCUCGCAAAACACAGUUUGGGAAACACUGCACUAUUUCAUAUCAAAAUUAAAAGAACAAACUCUGAAUAAUAAAUUUUAUAUAAUUUUUUUAA
Molecule: RNA transcript, 3051 nt
Organism: Biomphalaria glabrata
Lineage: Eukaryota; Metazoa; Mollusca; Gastropoda; Planorbidae
Exons: 12
Source: RefSeq, a predicted model, not a curated record